UAAAACUCCCCGAAAUGACAAUGUAAAACAAGAAAACUAACGGCCUUAUGUACAAAAUAUGAACAAAAAAGAAAUAUGUAACACAUAAACAAACGACAACCACUGAAUAACAGGCUCCUGACUUGGCAAAAAAUAAAAAUAUAACAAUGAUUUACAUGCAAAUGACAUGUCAACCACAACCAUGAAUGUGAUGAAAGCUUAAGCUUAUAUUAUUGUAUAUCCAUUCAUUUUCUUGAUAUUUUAUAAUGUGUCUACAAAUAAUGCUCUAUCAAAAAUAAGAGAAC
Molecule: long non-coding RNA, 284 nt
Filed under: Mytilus galloprovincialis (Mediterranean mussel)
Lineage: Eukaryota; Metazoa; Mollusca; Bivalvia; Mytilida; Mytilidae
Source: RNAcentral